CCUACGGGUGGCAGCAGUGAGGAAUAUUGGUCAAUGGGCGCGAGCCUGAACCAGCCAAGUCGCGUGAAGGAUGACUGCCCUACGGGUUGUAAACUUCUUUUAUAAAGGAAUAAAGUGAGGUACGUGUGCCUUAUUGUAUGUUCCAUAUGAAUAAGGAUUGGCUAACUCCGUGCCAGGAUCCGUGGUAAUACGGAGGGUUCGAGCGUUAUCCGGAUUUAUUGGGUUUAAAGGGAGCGUAGGUGGACUGUUAAGUCAGUUGUGAAAGUUUGCGGCUCAACCGUAAAAUGGCAGUUGAAACUGGCAGUCUUGAGUACAGUAGAGGUGGGCGGAAUUCGUGGUGUAGCGGUGAAAUGCUUAGAUAUCACGAAGAACUCCGAUUGCGAAGGCAGUUCACUGGACUGCAACUGACGCUGAGGCUCGAAAGUGUGGGUAUCAAACAGGAUUAGAUACCCCGGUAGUC
RNAcentral lists this ribosomal RNA (460 nucleotides) under uncultured bacterium. Its description in RNAcentral is "partial 16S ribosomal RNA". It matches the Rfam family "Bacterial small subunit ribosomal RNA", at positions 338 to 795 of the family's 1533-position model. The record is from RNAcentral.